CUAAUUGAGAAUUGUAAUUAAUAACUUGUUUCCUCAUAUGUUGUAUAUGGGAGCCAAGGGGAAGACUGGUGUCUGCUAAAAACUUGGUAGAUUCCAUCCAAUAGUGACAAAACACAAGAUUAUGUGGUGUUUACAGAUUAUAACCCGCCACAUCAAACACCAGCCAACAGAAAAUUAAUUAAUUAGAUCAAUGAUAUUUGUUCCACCGUGGUUGGCUAAUCAAG
RNAcentral lists this long non-coding RNA (224 nucleotides) under Prunus persica (peach). Its description in RNAcentral is "long non-coding RNA (PPER_LNC007264)". The record is from RNAcentral. Lineage: Eukaryota; Viridiplantae; Streptophyta; Magnoliopsida; Rosales; Rosaceae.